Molecule: ribosomal RNA, 208 nt
Filed under: uncultured eukaryote
Lineage: Eukaryota
Description: partial 18S ribosomal RNA
Rfam family: Eukaryotic small subunit ribosomal RNA
Source: RNAcentral
UGGUGGUGCGAGCUGUCUGGUUGAUUCCGUUAACGAACGAGACCUUUGUUGAAUAAUAGCAGGUUCAAGAUAUUGCGUCAAGGCAGGGGUGUACAUAUGAGGCAAGCCUUCGGGCCCCUUUUAUUGCAUGCGCCUCUGUUGCUUUUCUAGAAUACAGCUUCUUUUCAAGACUAAUGCGGAAAACGCAUUGGAAGUUAUAGGCAAAACA